CCUACGGGUGGCAGCAGUGGGGAAUAUUGCACAAUGGGGGGAACCCUGAUGCAGCGACGCCGCGUGAGUGAAGAAGUAAUUCGGUAUGUAAAGCUCUAUCAGCAGGGAAGAAAGUGACGGUACCUGAAAAAGAAGCUCCGGCUAACUACGUGCCAGCAGCCGCGGUAAUACGUAUGGAGCAAGCGUUAUCCGGAUUUACUGGGUGUAAAGGGAGAGUAGGUGGCAGAGCAAGUCUGAAGUGAAAACCCAAGGCUCAACUAUGGGAAUGCUUUAGAAACUGCCCGGCUAGAGUGCAGGAGAGGCAAGUGGAAUUCUUAGUGUAGCGGUGAAAUGCGUAGAUAUUAGGAGGAACACCAGUGGCGAAGGCGGCUUGCUGGACUGUAACUGACACUGAGGCUCGAAAGCGUGGGGAGCAAACAGGAUUAGAUACCCCAGUAGUC
This 440-nucleotide ribosomal RNA is filed under the name uncultured bacterium. RNAcentral's name for it is "partial 16S ribosomal RNA". It matches the Rfam family "Bacterial small subunit ribosomal RNA", at positions 338 to 795 of the family's 1533-position model. The record is from RNAcentral.